GACGAACGCUGGCGGCGUGCUUAACACAUGCAAGUUGAACGGAAAGGCCCUGCUUUUGUGGGGUGCUCGAGUGGCGAACGGGUGAGUAACACGUGAGUAACCUGCCCUUGACUUUGGGAUAACUUCAGGAAACUGGGGCUAAUACCGGAUAGGAGCUCCUGCUGCAUGGUGGGGGUUGGAAAGUUUCGGCGGUUGGGGAUGGACUCGCGGCUUAUCAGCUUGUUGGUGGGGUAGUGGCUUACCAAGGCUUUGACGGGUAGCCGGCCUGAGAGGGUGACCGGCCACAUUGGGACUGAGAUACAGCCCAGACUCCUACGGGAGGCAGCAGUGGGGAAUAUUGCACAAUGGGCGGAAGCCUGAUGCAGCAACGCCGCGUGCGGGAUGACGGCCUUCGGGUUGUAAACCGCUUUCGCCUGUGACGAAGCGUGAGUGACGGUAAUGGGUAAAGAAGCACCGGCUAACUACGUG
RNAcentral lists this ribosomal RNA (468 nucleotides) under uncultured bacterium. RNAcentral describes it as "partial 16S ribosomal RNA". It matches the Rfam family "Bacterial small subunit ribosomal RNA", at positions 28 to 507 of the family's 1533-position model. The record is from RNAcentral.